Molecule: unclassified non-coding RNA, 262 nt
Filed under: plant metagenome
Description: partial contains small subunit ribosomal RNA, internal transcribed spacer 1, and 5.8S ribosomal RNA
Source: RNAcentral
UUUCCGUAGGUGAACCUGCGGAGGGAUCAUUAUUGUAUAACCGAGGUGCUAGGGCUGUCGCUGACCCGAAAGGUCGUGCACGCGCGCGUGCCCUCACACAAAUCCAUCUCACCCCUAUGUGCACCACCGCGUGGGUCCCCCUUUGGCUUGUUCGGAGGGGGGCUUACGUUUUCACACAAACUUUAUCUGCAGUGUAGAAUGUAUUUUUGUUUUUGCGAUCACGCAAUCAAUACAACUUUCAACAACGGAUCUCUUGGCUCUC